This 341-nucleotide ribosomal RNA is filed under the name uncultured Flavobacteriaceae bacterium. RNAcentral describes it as "bacterial LSU rRNA". It matches the Rfam family "Bacterial large subunit ribosomal RNA", at positions 1 to 359 of the family's 2925-position model. Lineage: Bacteria; Pseudomonadati; Bacteroidota; Flavobacteriia; Flavobacteriales; Flavobacteriaceae. The record is from RNAcentral.
AAUAAGCUAAAUAAGAGCGUAUGGGGAAUGCCUAGGCUCUCAGAGGCGAUGAAGGACGUGAUAAGCUGCGAAAAGUUGCGGGGAUUGGCACAUACAAAUUGAUCCGCAAAUAUCCGAAUGGGGCAACCCACUAUGUUGAAGACAUAGUAUCCGCAAGGAGGCAAACCCAGGGAACUGAAACAUCUAAGUACCUGGAGGAGAAGAAAACAAAAGUGAUUCCGUAAGUAGUGGCGAGCGAACGCGGAAUAGCCCAAACCAGUGUUGUUACGGCAAUACUGGGGUUGUAGRACUGCGUCAUUGUAUGAAUCAUGAAUUAGAACUGUUUGGAAAGACAGACCAAA